This 521-nucleotide ribosomal RNA is filed under the name uncultured bacterium. Its description in RNAcentral is "bacterial SSU rRNA". It matches the Rfam family "Archaeal small subunit ribosomal RNA", at positions 345 to 866 of the family's 1478-position model. The record is from RNAcentral.
AACCUCCGCAAUGUGAGAAAUCGCGACGGGGGGAUCCCAAGUGCCAUUCUUAACGGGAUGGCUUUUCAUUAGUGUAAAGAGCUUUUGGAAUAAGAGCUGGGCAAGACCGGUGCCAGCCGCCGCGGUAACACCGGCAGCUCGAGUGGUAGCUGUUUUUAUUGGGCCUAAAGCGUUCGUAGCCGGUUUGAUAAGUCUUUGGUGAAAGCUUGUAGCUUAACUAUAAGAAUUGCUGGAGAUACUAUCAGACUUGAAGUCGGGAGAGGUUAGAGGUACUACCGGGGUAGGGGUGAAAUCCUAUAAUCCUGGGAGGACCACCUGUGGCGAAGGCGUCUAACUGGAACGAUCUUGACGGUGAGUAACGAAAGCCAGGGGCGCGAACCGGAUUAGAUACCCGGGUAGUCCUGGCCGUAAACGAUGUGGACUUGGUGUUGGAAUGGCUUCGAGUUGUUCCAGUGCCGAAGGGAAGCUGUUAAGUCCACCGCCUGGGAAGUACGGUCGCAAGACUGAAACUUAAAGGAAAU